UACGUAGGGGGCAAGCGUUAUCCGGAUUUACUGGGUGUAAAGGGAGCGUAGACGGCGAAGAAAGUCUGAAGUGAAAGCCCGCGGCUUAACCGCGGAACUGCUUUGGAAACUUUUUUGCUGGAGUACCGGAGAGGUAAGCGGAAUUCCUAGUGUAGCGGUGAAAUGCGUAGAUAUUAGGAGGAACACCAGUGGCGAAGGCGGCUUACUGGACGGUAACUGACGUUGAGGCUCGAAAGCGUGGGGAGCAAACAGG
Molecule: ribosomal RNA, 253 nt
Filed under: uncultured bacterium
Lineage: Bacteria
Description: partial 16S ribosomal RNA
Rfam family: Bacterial small subunit ribosomal RNA
Source: RNAcentral